RNAcentral lists this unclassified non-coding RNA (345 nucleotides) under uncultured Russula. RNAcentral describes it as "sequence contains ITS1, 5.8S rRNA gene, ITS2". The stretch from base 37 to 190 matches the Rfam family "5.8S ribosomal RNA". Lineage: Eukaryota; Fungi; Basidiomycota; Agaricomycetes; Russulales; Russulaceae. The record is from RNAcentral.
UAGAAUNUCUUAUAUGCGAUGCCACGCAAUCAAUCCAACUUUCACCACCGGAUUUCUUGGUUCUCGCAUCGAGGAAGACCGCAGGGAAAUGCGAUACGUAAUGUGAAUNGCAGAAUCCAGUGAAUCAUGGAAUCUUNGAACCCCCCUGGCGCCCCUGGNCAUUCCGAGGGGCCCACCCGUUUGAGUUUCGUGCCAUCCUCACCCUUCUGGGUUUUCUUGAUCAAGAAGGCUNGGAAUCUGGAGGUUUUUGNNGCCCUCCCUUUCGAAGCCAGCUCCUCUUAAACGAAUUAGUGGGUUUGACCUUUGUCGAUCCUCGACGUGAUAAGAUGUUUCUACGUCUUGGGA